Molecule: ribosomal RNA, 497 nt
Filed under: uncultured bacterium
Lineage: Bacteria
Description: partial 16S ribosomal RNA
Rfam family: Bacterial small subunit ribosomal RNA
Source: RNAcentral
GAUGAACGCUGGCGGCGUGCCUAAUACAUGCAAGUCGAGCGAACAGACGAGGAGCUUGCUCCUCUGACGUUAGCCGCGGACGGGUGAGUCACACGUGUAUAACCUACCUAUAAUACUGGGAUCACUACGGGACACCGGCGCUAAUCCCGGAUAAUCUAUUGAACCGCAUUGUUGGAUAGUGAAAGUCGGCUUUUCUGUCUCUUAUAGAUGCAUCUCAGCCGCAUUAGCUAGUUGGUCAGUUAACGGGUUACCAAGGCGACGAUGCGUAGCCGACCUGAGAGGGUGGUCGGCGACACUGGAACGGAGACACGGUCCAGAGUCCUACGGGAGGCAGCAGUAGCGAACCGGCCGCAACGGGCGAGAGUCUGACGGAGUAACGCGGAGCGAGAGAUGGAGGUCUUGGGAGCGGAAAACUGUGUUAUGAGGGAAGAACAAAUGUGUAAGUAAAUAUGGACGGAUUGACGGUACUGGAUCAGAAAGCCACGGCUAACUACGUG